CCUACGGGUGGCAGCAGUGGGGAAUAUUGGACAAUGGGCGAAAGCCUGACGCAGCAACGCCGCGUGAAGGAAGAAGGCUUUCGGGUUGUAAACUUCUGUUGACAGGGAAGAGCAGAAGACGGUACCUGUCGAAUAAGCCACGUCUAACUAUGUGAGAGCAGGCGCGGUAAUACGUAGGUGGCAAGCGUUGUCCGGAUUUACUGGGUGAAAGGGGCGUGUAGCCGGGCUGACAAGUCAGAUGUGAAAUCCGGGGCUCAACCCCCGAACUGCAUUUGAAACUGUGGGUCUAGAGUAUCGGAGAGGCAGGCGGAAUUCCUAGUGUAGCGGUGAAAUGCGUAGAUAUUAGGAGGAACACCAGUGGCGAAGGCGGCCUGCUGGACGACAACUGACGGUGAGGCGCGAAAGCGUGGGGAGCAAACAGGAUUAGAUACCCCUGUAGUC
RNAcentral lists this ribosomal RNA (441 nucleotides) under uncultured bacterium. Its description in RNAcentral is "partial 16S ribosomal RNA". It matches the Rfam family "Bacterial small subunit ribosomal RNA", at positions 338 to 795 of the family's 1533-position model. The record is from RNAcentral.